RNAcentral lists this unclassified non-coding RNA (520 nucleotides) under uncultured Entrophospora. RNAcentral's name for it is "SSU rRNA". It matches the Rfam family "Eukaryotic small subunit ribosomal RNA", at positions 569 to 1091 of the family's 1831-position model. Lineage: Eukaryota; Fungi; Glomeromycota; Glomeromycetes; Entrophosporales; Entrophosporaceae. The record is from RNAcentral.
AGCAGCCGCGGUAAUUCCAGCUCCAAUAGCGUAUAUUAAAGUUGUUGCAGUUAAAAAGCUCGUAGUUGAAUUUCGAGAUCAAAUUGUUGGUCGUGCCUUGGUACGCACUGGCAUUAUUGGUUUCUCCCUUCUGACGAACCAUGAUGUCAUUAAUUUGGUGUCUUGGGGAAUCAGGACUGUUACUUUGAAAAAAUUAGAGUGUUUAAAGCAGGCUCACGCUUGAAUACAUUAGCAUGGAAUAAUGAAAUAGGACGUUUGAUUCUAUUUUGUUGGUUUCUAGGAUCGACGUAAUGAUUAAUAGGGAUAGUUGGGGGCAUUAGUAUUCAAUUGUCAGAGGUGAAAUUCUUGGAUUUAUUGAAGACUAACUACUGCGAAAGCAUUUGCCAAGGAUGUUUUCAUUAAUCAAGAACGAAAGUUAGGGGAUCGAAGACGAUCAGAUACCGUCGUAGUCUUAACCAUAAACUAUGCCGACUAGGGAUCGGAUGGUGUUAAUUUUUUAAUGACUCAUUCGGCGCCUUAC